Non-coding RNA from Danio rerio (zebrafish), 966 nucleotides. The record is from Ensembl. Lineage: Eukaryota; Metazoa; Chordata; Actinopteri; Cypriniformes; Danionidae.
GAUCUAUACUUGACAAAUAUGUGCUUGGAGAGAAGCUGGGACAGGGAAACUGUGGCACUGUCUAUCUGGCUACACGGAAAUCUGAUGGCCAGAAGGUUGCCAUAAAAGUUGUGAAUAAGGACUUAAGGAGUUUCGGAUACUGGUACACUAUGAAUGGACGUACUAUCCCGGAAGCAUAUCAUAUGAUGGUCCUCAAGGAACCUCCGCUCUGCCCGCACAUCAUUGAGCUGUACGAGUACGCCAUGGAGGGAAGGAAUAACUACCUGGUCAUGGAGUACGCGUCCUCGUACAUAACCUUGGAUAAAUUCAUCAGGAAGAACAAUGGCCUCCUGAGUGAGAGUGUUGCGCGGCAGCUGAUCAUGCAGCUCAUUAUCGCAACACAGCGCUGCCUUGAGCAUGGCAUAGAACAUGAGUCCAUACAUAAAGAAAACAUCCUGGUCAAUCCAAAGACCCUGCAGCUCAAGCUGAUUGAUUUUGGCAACAGUUAUUAUACUCAAAAAGGCUACUGGAGAUCCCCCUAUCUUGGAGUAACGAGAUACCGUCUACAGGAGGGGGAACCCUACAGAUCCAUUCGUUUUGCUGUUGAUUCACAUGUCAUGGCUGUUUUACUAAUGCUGUCCUAUAUGGUCAAUGGAUAUUUCCCUUACUCCAGAUAUAAACGUCCACGAUUUCACCCCAGAUUGUCAGCAGAAUGCAAGGAUCUUCUUCGGUGGAUAAUCAGUUACCACCCUCGAACAGGACCUGUUUUAGAGGAGAUUAUAGAGCACAAGUGGUUCAGCAUGACGUAGAGCCCAUCAGCAGCAGGAAACAGGUUUUAUACUUCCAUUUACGUCAGAUUGUUUUGCUGUUUUCCGCUUCUGCUUCCCAAAUUCUGCACUUCCUCCUGCGAGUGUUGCAGUCAGAGCUGCAUGUAAAUGAGGGCCGGUUGAAGCGUCCCUAUUGGUCCACCAGCUCUAGACCGACAGC